UUCUUUCUUCACAGGUCGCAGGAACAGUUUCUCUUUGUUUCACAGGCUGCAGUAACAUGGAGCGAGGAAGCAGGUUCCAACUAAAGGACUGCAAGAUACCGUGCUACACAUACACUUACCUAGAAAGAAGACAAGGGUUACAGGUGAGUGUUAUCCCCCUAAAUCCUCCUUAUUGCCCCCUGCUUCCCCUGCAGCAUCCUCUCCCUCUGAUUCACAAUGUGCUGCAUAUAUUACAAAAUAUACUGUGUAAAUGCCAUAACUAAUCACACACACCACUGUAUAAAAUAGAUGUUUGUGUGCUGCGAAUAGUAAUUGUAUACAAUUAAAUGCGACCUAUAACGAAUAUCAUGCUGAAAACCACAUAAGUCUCCUGUGAGAGAAAUGUAUCUGUAUACACAAAACAUAAGCUCAGAGGCUGUAUCCUGUCACAUACUAUGUGCUGCCUUAGUAUUGUCUGUAUUAUCUGUAUACACAAACAUAAGUACAGAGGCUGUAUCCUGUCACAUACUAUGUGCUGCCUUAGUAUUGUGUGCUGCCUUAGUAUUGUCUGUAUUAUCUGUAUACACAAACAUAAGUACAGAGGCUGUAUCCUGUCACAUACUAUGUGCUGCCUUAGUAUUGUGUGCUGCCUUAGUAUUGUCUGUAUUAUCUGUAUACACAAACAUAAGUACAGAGGCUGUAUCCUGUCACAUACUAUGUGCUGCCUUAGUAUUGUCUGUAUUAUCUGUAUACACAAACAUAAGUACAGAGGCUGUAUCCUGUCACAUACUGUGUGCUGCCUUAGUAUUGUCUGUAUUAUCUGUAUACACAAACAUAAGUACAGAGGCUGUAUCCUGUCACAUACUGUGUGCUGCCUUAGUAUUGUCUGUAUUAUCUGUAUACACAAACAUAAGUACAGAGGCUGUAUCCUGUCACAUACUGUGUGCUGCCUUAGUAUUGUCUGUAUUAUCUGUAUACACAAACAUAAGUACAGAGGCUGUAUCCUGUCACAUACUAUGUGCUGCCUUAGUAUUGUGUGCUGCCUUAGUAUUGUCUGUAUUAUCUGUAUACACAAACAUAAGUACAGAGGCUGUAUCCUGUCACAUACUAUGUGCUGCCUUAGUAUUGUGUGCUGCCUUAGUAUUGUCUGUAUUAUCUGUAUACACAAACAUAAGUACAGAGGCUGUAUCCUGUCACAUACUAUGUGCUGCCUUAGUAUUGUCUGUAUUAUCUGUAUACACAAACAUAAGCUCAGAGGCUGUAUCCUGUCACAUACUAUGUGCUGCCUUAGUAUUGUCUGUAUUAUCUGUAUACACAAACAUAAGUACAGAGGCUGUAUCCUGUCACAUACUAUGUGCUGCCUUAGUAUUGUCUGUAUUAUCUGUAUACACAAACAUAAGCUCAUAGGCUGUAUCCUGUCACAUACUAUGUGCUGCCUUAGUAUUGUGUUCUAUCUUAGUAUUGUCUGUAUUAUCUGUAUACACAAACAUAAGCUCAUAGGCUGUAUCCUGUUACAUACUAUGUGCUGCCUUAGUAUUGUCUGUAUUAUCUGUAUACACAAACAUAAGUACAGAGGCUGUAUACUGUCACAUACUAUGUGCUGCCUUAGUAUUGUCUGUAUUAUCUGUAUACACAAACAUAAGCUCAUAGGCUGUAUCCUGUCACAUACUAUGUGCUGCCUUAGUAUUGUGUGCUAUCUUAGUAUUGUAUGUAUUAUCUGUAUACACAAACAUAAGCUCAUAGGCUGUAUCCUGUCACAUACUAUGUGCUGCCUUAGUAUUGUGUGCUAUCUUAGUAUUGUCUGUAUUAUCUGUAUACACAAACAUAAGCUCAUAGGCUGUAUCCUGUCACAUACUAUGUGCUGCCUUAGUAUUGUGUGCUAUCUUAGUAUUGUCUGUAUUAUCUGUAUACACAAACAUAAGUACAGAGGCUGUAUCCUGUCACAUACUAUGUGCUGCCUUAGUAUUGUCUGUAUUAUCUGUAUAAACAAACAUAAGUACAGAGGCUGUAUCCUGUCACAUACUAUGUGCUGCCUUAGUAUUGUCUGUAUUAUCUGUAUACACAAAACAUAAGCUCAGAGGCUGUAUCCUGUCACAUACUAUGUGCUGCCUUAGUAUUGUCUGUAUUAUCUGUAUACACAAACAUAAGUACAGAGGCUGUAUACUGUCACAUACUAUGUGCUGCCUUAGUAUUGUCUGUAUUAUCUGUAUACACAAACAUAAGUACAGAGGCUGUAUCCUGUCACAUACUAUGUGCUGCCUUAGUAUUGUCUGUAUUAUCUGUAUACACAAACAUAAGUACAGAGGCUGUAUACUGUCACAUACUAUGUGCUGCCUUAGUAUUGUCUGUAUUAUCUGUAUACACAAAACAUAAGCUCAGAGGCUGUAUACUGUCACAUACUAUGUGCUGCCUUAGUAUUGUCUGUAUUAUCUGUAUACACAAACAUAAUUACAGAGGCUAUAUCCUGUCACAUACUAUGUGCUGCCUUAGUAUUGGCUGUAUUAUCUGUAUACACAAACAUAAGUACAGAGGCUGUAUACUGUCACAUACUAUGUGCUGCCUUAGUAUUUUCUGUAUUAUCUGUAUACACAAACAUAAGCUCAGAGGCUGUAUACUGUCACAUACUAUGUGCUGCCUUAGUAUUUUCUGUUUUAUCUGUAUACACAAACAUAAGUACAGAGGCUGUAUCCUGUCACAUACUAUGUGCUGCCUUAGUAUUGUCUGUAUUAUCUGUAUACACAAACAUAAGCUCAGAGGCUGUAUACUGUCACAUACUAUGUGCUGCCUUAGUAUUGUCUGUAUUAUCUGUAUACACAAACAUAAGUACAGAGGCUGUAUACUGUCACAUACUAUGUGCUGCCUUAGUAUUUUCUGUAUUAUCUUUAUACACAAACAUAAGUACAAAGGCUGUAUCCUGUCACAUACUAUGUGCUGCCUGGAAAUCUCUUUACAACCAUGAACCACCCAGACGCCCCCACCACCCAGACCACACAUGAUCCUGUCCACUAUAUAACCGUGACCCUGUCUCCUCCCAACAAGACCUUUCUGAGUUUGAAGAACCAUGCGCCACAUAUGAGGCGGAGCGUGUUCUUGGCGGACCGGAGGCCACCAUUGAGGCCUUGGGCCCGCAUCUUUGAGGAGUAUAAUACUGGCCUGGAAGGGGGGGGGGAUCAUUCUGCUCAGAGUUUGGAAAACAAUUAGUUUACAAAUAAAAUGGUCCAACUAAAGAGAACAUUUAACCAAGUUAUUUCCAGAAAUAUCAGACAAAAGGUCCAUAGCAAUAUGAAUAAGCAAUAUCCUAAUUUUCAAAAAUGUUACAGAAGCUCAGACAUUGUGGGGAUAUAGACAAACAUAUCAAUCUCAUGCAUUAUUCACUGCAUAGAAUUAUUAAAUCUCAAGAAAGCUCUCUAAUCUUGUAUAAUUAUUUCUGUAUGGCUAAAACAGGACCUGGAGAUUACAGACAAUACUAAGGCAUUCCCAGUGGCUUGUGUAGUCAAGUAUAGUUGAAGUAUUUCUUUUCUUAUAAUGUGCUUUAACAUUGUCAUACAAGAGAAUAUGGAAGAUCCUGUCAUUAUGAUAUAUUGUCUUGCUAUAGAUAUAUUAAUGAUUAUAGCAGUCAUUUAGCUAGUUUGAGCCAAAAUACAGCAACAUUCCUUAAAAAUACAUAUGACUUAAAUGCUAAUUCAGCUAUAGCUAUUUAUUAGAAGAAUAUUUUAAAGAAACUAAUAUAUAUUGCUUAAAGUGACAAACAAAAUAAGUACACAAUGCAUAAGAACACUCUUUUGAUGCCAGUGAGAUCAAUAUUUGUAGUACUGGAAAUAAACACAACAUAAAAUAAUUACCUAUGUAAUCCAUACUGUAUAAUUCUUAUAAAGGCACCGUGUGGAUAAAUAUAUAUCGCAAGUAAUGCACGAUAAAUUGCUAUUGUUGCUAAGGCUUUCUAUGCUUUUUAAGGCAUAUGGUUAUUGCUGGAUUGUUAUAUAAGAACACCCACUUGCUCGUCCAGACUGUGCAACCAUUUAAAGCUGUUUGUAGGUAUACAGUACUGGCAAUGUAUAUGGUUAGGUAUAUUUUACAAUUAUAAUUGAAUGAAAACAAAAUAGAUUGAUUUAGCUGAAUAAAUUGUACAGAGUCUAUUAUUCUAUUACCGAGUCUAUCUCUAUAUCACAAUUAAAAAUGUUCUAGCCUGUUUGGUGGUUGGGUCAGUGCGCAUGCCCAAAUGGGACGUCACUCACAGUAAAACAGAAGUUUUUUCCUGUGACGAAUCCUACGGGAUAUAAUUUCCCAGCAGUACUCAGGGAUUUUUUGCUUUGAUAUAAUUUAACACAUAUAAAGUUUGUUUCCUUAUUUACAUAUCUAUAAUCGGUGUAUUGUAAAAUAUACCUCAGUAAAUAAAAUCGCAUUUAGUCCUUACCCUCAGCUGGUUAGGUUCAGCAGACACCUCUACCCUUCCCUACCCUAUUUGAAGACUAAGCUCAUCAUGCAGCUGAGUUUGGUCUAUCAGUAGAAAAUAGGAUGCUGGCGUUAUAGCCGGCUGAUUAUAAAUCUGGGGGAUAUAUAGAGUGAAUAUGAGUAACGUAAUUUGCAUUUAAUACGUAGUACGUGUUUACUAAUUGUUACUACAAGUCUUUAUAUCCUGGGGUCCAUUUAAAUAUCUGUUGGGAAAGAUAGAACAUGUUUUAUUGAAUGAUAGGGUUUAUACUUCUGGAGAUCAAUAUUGGAAAUACAUUUUUAUUAUUUAUUUUAUUUAAUUACAAGUAUUUUCAAUAAUGAUUAUUAACAUAAUUUAGAAUCACAGCUCCUCUAACUAUUCAAUGUAAGUUAACUUUAUGUAAACAGUGUCUGACUCUGCACCAAAUGUCAUAAUACAAAUGUCAAAACGAAAAAAUAAGGAUAUGGUUUGUUAUAUGAAUAUGAUCCAAAGUCCUCAUUUAUAUCCCAUACACUUAUCAUUUCUGUAAUACUAUUUACUAUUAUGUAACAUAGUUUAAGGUAGGCUUUGUUUUUUAUUUUGGGAGGUUUGCAUAAUAGCCAUAUUAGUGGGUAUAAGGCUAUUUUAUAUCUCCACUUCAUUUUUCUCUCUAUAUAAUCAUCUUCCUUCAAAAAUUGUGAAUUAAAGGACACCACCACCACCACAUAUGGGACAUGCCAUUGCAAUGUGAUUGCAUCUCCAGCAGAUUUUAAUCAACAAAGAAGUCACGGAGGGCAAUGAGUCCAGAUGGAUGUAAAAGGAAUGUUGUGCUAUUCGGUCGACAUGUAAUUGGCAAAUAUGUGUUUAGUAUAAAACAGGGCUAUCCCCAUUUAAUACAUAUACAGCACAUGUAACAGGAAACUGCUCCCUGUCCUUCAAGCUACAGCAAAAUACAAAACAAUAUCUGGGACUGCACCUCAGAUAAACCUCUGUUGACAAAUUA
This is an RNA transcript of Bombina bombina (fire-bellied toad), 5393 nucleotides long. RefSeq lists it as uncharacterized. The transcript is spliced from 2 exons. The record is from RefSeq and is a predicted model, not a curated record. Lineage: Eukaryota; Metazoa; Chordata; Amphibia; Anura; Bombinatoridae.